UGGUCCAAGCCUGCACAUUGUUCUCUCUGUGUUCCAAAUAGAGGGUCAUAAGGAGCGGUGCAGACCAACACCUCCCCAGUUCUUCUCUUACUGCAAAUCAGAAGAAUCCAAAGCACAGAGGAAAGAGGGCAGGUAACAGAAUACAGAUAGAGACCACAUAUCUCAAAGAACCUCCACUUACAGGUAGAAUACUAGAGCUUGUCUGACCUCCAGAGAGAGAAGUCUCUUCUCCUUAUUGGAAGUGUGAGGUUUUGGGAAUAAUACUGAACUUGUGGUAACGGAGGGAUGGGAAGAAAGGCAUAUCUGAGAUGGUCUGUCCAUGAUAACAGAAAGGCAACACCCCUGGAGCCAGGGUCCAGAGCUGCCGUGGAGCAGCAGAGGGU
Molecule: long non-coding RNA, 383 nt
Organism: Mauremys reevesii (Reeves's turtle)
Lineage: Eukaryota; Metazoa; Chordata; Testudines; Geoemydidae
Exons: 3
Source: RefSeq, a predicted model, not a curated record